GUGCGCACCAGAGGCAGGAAGCGCUCCGUGCUGAAGUAGCGCAGCGCUGGGCGGGGGUCGCGCAGCGCGGCGAGGAAGACCUGCGGCGGCGGGAGGAGGCGCGUGGCCGGGGCUGCCCCCCCCCCCCACCGACGCGUCGUCUCUGUUCCCGGGGGCGCGCCCAGUGUCUACCUCGGUCACCUCCUCUGGGUCCUGCGCCGCCUCGCCUGGAUGGCAGAAGUGAGAUAAUGAACGCUAAGUGCCCAGUACUGCAUCUGGUGUACAAGGAGUGUGAGCCGCAGUGGAGAGGGGCCAGGAAGGACGCCUGAGAGUGGCUCAAAACAGCCCCUCAGAUACCUUUGAAGCUCCUGGAGGGGUCGGAGGCCAGACGCAGGGCCAGGUGCAGGCCAAUGCCGGAGGAGCAGCCGGUGAUGAGCACCACAGUGCGGUCCAUGGGGAGACUUGUGCGGGUGGAGGGGGCACGGGGAAUGCAAGGCUAGGGGCUCUGAGCUCAAGAGCCCCUGCUUUGCCCCGCCUUUGGGGUGCCCACCCCUUGUUGUGUCUCUAGCACAAUCUCAAGGCUGAGCCUUCCCGCCAGUCUGGAGCCUCCUCACCUCCGUCAAAGCAGAGAUGAGGCCACUGCUCAGAGUACCCCUGGCCAGAGGGAGGGGUCAGCUGGUAGCGGCUGUUCUGCUCAUAGAAGCGGGCCUCGGCCUCACUGACGGCCGCCGCCCGGGCCUGCUCCAGCCAGCUGCCCAGCAGGAAGCGGCCAUCACUGGCCAGCACUUCGUCCAGCGAGGGCAGAAGCUCGUAGACCAGGAUGCCUGCCGCCCUCAGCAGGGGAGCCAGCUCCUUGUUCAGAUAAGAAGACAGAGGUCCAGAGAGGUUAAAUGACUCAAUCGCAGGACACUCAUUCCGAUUCAGGAGAAUCUGCAGACCCGACAGGGUGUGUGGUGAAGCCGAUGCCGCCAGUCCUGGAUCACACUUCGAGCAGGUGCUCCCUCUCAGGGAAGCCAGGGCCAAUGGGUCCCCUUCCUGGCUGACACAGAGACCUCCCCACCCGGCCAUUCCUGACCUGGCCCCUCUCUGCCCCACCCCUGUAAGUGGCAGGAAGUUGUGCUGACUUUACAUCUGCGCACAAGGAAGAACACCUACCGGCUUUGAACACAUCCCCUGAGCUCUGGCCCGCGUUACCUGCCUCAGCUCGGAGGCAGAGAGCAAAUAAAAUACUUCCGAUAGCCAGCA
Molecule: long non-coding RNA, 1224 nt
Organism: Suricata suricatta (meerkat)
Lineage: Eukaryota; Metazoa; Chordata; Mammalia; Carnivora; Herpestidae
Exons: 5
Source: RefSeq, a predicted model, not a curated record